This 1418-nucleotide long non-coding RNA is filed under the name Homo sapiens (human). RNAcentral's name for it is "long intergenic non-protein coding RNA 466". Lineage: Eukaryota; Metazoa; Chordata; Mammalia; Primates; Hominidae. The record is from RNAcentral.
GAGCGCCACCCGCCCCGGGAGUCUCCAGAGCAGCGCGCGGGGCAGACCUCCUCGGGUCCUCCGGCGCUUCGGUCUCCGGAGACGCCCGGCCUCCUGAAGGGUUCGGCUUGUCCUCCUCUGGCGCUCAGCUCCCUCUGGCGGCCGGGCUGGCAGGACCUCAGCGCCCAGCCCUUCCGUCUUGUUACGUCCAGGGUCUCACUCUGUGUCUCAGGCUGGAGUACAGUGGUGCAAUUGUAGAUGGCUGCAGCCCUCGACCUCCUGGGCUCAAGUGAUCCUCCUGCCUUAGCCUCUCGAGUAGCUGGGAGUACAGAUGCACACCACCACACCCAGCCUAGAAUGAAGAAACCUGCAGUUGGGAAGCAUGAAUUUACCACCUAUUAAGAUCUGGCUGCUGUGUGGAGAAAGAGUGAAGAUACGGAAGUUGGAGGUUCUCGUAGCAAUGCAGAUCCCCUUUUAUUUUUCAGAAUUGUGGCUUGCAUUGUAAGAGGAGCCUGUGAAUUCAGAGGCAAGUCUGCUGAGGACCGAAUGUUCCUGUCCAUAAAAACAGAAGUCUGGCCUGGGCUCCUCUCUUGGGUGAAUUUGCAAUGCCAGAUCCUCUCUAUCAGUUUGGUUUUGUUUCUUGUAUCUCUGGGAAGGCAGGCAGACAGCACGGUCACCUGUGAAUGCAGCUACAAUUGGCUUAGCUGCCUCACUGAUAAAUGUGCCCCCAGUAAGCUACAAAGGGAUUACCAGCGUUCUCAGCAGCUAAAGGAACUGGUGAAGAUUUCCCCAGCAAAAAGUAGAAGCUCAGUGUUUCAUAGAUGAAGACUGGGGAGAUUGCAAAAGACCCAUCCAGCAGUGGUUCUCAGACCUCAGUGUGCAUCAGAAUCACCUGGAAGGCUUGUGAAAACACGUAUUGCUGGGCCACACCCCCAGAAUUUCUGGAUCAGUAAAGCUGGGAUUCUUACUUUGAGUAGCCAACUUGCAGAAUACAAUAGAAUUUUGGGAGGAGCCCCUCGAUGCCUGGCUUUACUGUUGGAGAGACAGUACAGUAUACACCAGAUGACUUAUUUGUGAACCAUGGAAACGUUUGGAAAAGGACUGUUUCUGCCAUGCGUGUUACUCAUUGCCAUGGUGCUUAUGACAGUGAAGGAAAGAGUCUCACUUUGUCGCCCAGGCUGGAGUACAGUGGUGCGAUCUUGGCUCUCUGCAACCUCUGCCUCCCAGGUUCAAGUAAUUCUCCUGCCUCAGCCUCCCGAGUAGCUGGUACUACAGGCACACAUUUGUAGAGAUGGUGUUUCCCCAUGUCAUCCAGGCUGGUCUGGAACUCCUGGGAUCAAGUAAUCCACCCGCCUCGGCCUCCCAAAGUGCUGGGAUUACAGACGUGAGCCACCACGCCCUGCCAAUAAAAAGAUUAUCUCCAGAUGCUGGAAUGACCA